AAACUGUCUGUAUUUUGUCUCUUGUCCCUGACCAUUUCUGAGAUGCGAUACCCUGGAUGAAGAUUUUUCUGGACACUGAGUUGUUCUUGGAGAUGAUCAGGCAGUCUGCACCCUGGAAGUGUAAUCUAACUGCUAAGGAGAUAUUAUCUUCGUCCAGUUAAUCCUCAAUUUGCUGUUGCGCUGCAGACUAUCUGAACAGAAUUCAUGAUUUGUGCUUUCAAACAUCUGAGCUGAGAAGAGGAGCCUUUGCAAGUUUUAGUACAUGUGUUUUACCAUCCAUAUUCAUGAAGAAAAUCAGCAUGUAUAGAUGAUCCAAGACAAAUCAAAUUAAGUUCCAGUGUAAAGAUGUGAAGUAAUGACUAGAUUUGGGUUGCAAUUGUCAUUUUGUCCAGACCAGUAUGCAAUCUCAGGAAAGCCAAUAAUGUCAUAGAGGAGAGUUGAAAGCCGGGUUGCCUGUCUUCAAAGCUCAUCAUCUCAGUUACCAGGCUGGAGGUGUCCUAAUAUGGAAUGGGAGGAAGAUGGAGUAGUUACUAGGUCUCCCAUACCCGGUGAUGUACAGUAGUGCUGGAUAGCUCUGGAGAGCAGUUCUGGCUGGCAAAGAAAGCAGCAAGGAUUGCUAGGAACCAUCUCGCCAUUCAAAGCUGAAAGUUGGCUGCAGAGUAGAUUUUGGUUUUCCCCAUGGAUGCUGAAAGAGAAGGGAAGAAUCAUUUCUGACAAUUCUGCAUGGCUUCUGCAUUGCAACUGGAUGUAGAAUCUGCUCCUGUUUGCAUCCAUGUUCCCAGGAUGAAUUUUUAUUGACAGAAGAAAAGGUAGCUGCCUCACCAGCCCAAGGAGAUGGUGCCAUAUUGAAGACUCAAUUUUGGUUUAUUUGGCUGGAAGAAGGGACACUCAGCAAUGUAGGAAACCAAUACAUCUUCCAAUCUGAUGGGAUCUUCAAACUCAUAAGAUUUUCCUAAAUGCUGACUGGAGGGUUUGAGCUGAUAUCCAUGGAACGAGAAUGAUUAUUCGUUUUUUGUGUUUUUUUGGUGCCAGGGAUUGAACUCGGGACCUUGAGCUUGCAAGGCAGGCACUGGAACCACUGAGCUAAAUCCCCGACCUGAGAAUGAUUAUUUGUAAUGCAGACCAUUUUCUUGCCUCCAGCCCAUAGAAAACUGUAUUUUGAGAAUGAUUUGAACUGUAAGAUAAAACUUUACAAUCC
RNAcentral lists this long non-coding RNA (1198 nucleotides) under Heterocephalus glaber (naked mole-rat). Its description in RNAcentral is "lncRNA (ENSHGLG00100038365.1)". The record is from RNAcentral. Lineage: Eukaryota; Metazoa; Chordata; Mammalia; Rodentia; Bathyergidae.